Molecule: ribosomal RNA, 471 nt
Filed under: uncultured bacterium
Lineage: Bacteria
Description: bacterial SSU rRNA
Rfam family: Bacterial small subunit ribosomal RNA
Source: RNAcentral
CGCUAUCAUCCUACGGGAGGCAGCAGUGGGGAAUAUUGCACAAUGGGCGCAAGCCUGAUGCAGCCAUGCCGCGUGUAUGAAGAAGGCCUUCGGGUUGUAAAGUACUUUCAGCAGUGAGGAAGGCAGGUACGUUAAUAGCGUGCUUGUUUGACGUUAGCUGCAGAAGAAGCACCGGCUAACUCCGUGCCAGCAGCCGCGGUAAUACGGAGGGUGCGAGCGUUAAUCGGAAUUACUGGGCGUAAAGCGCAUGCAGGUGGUUUGUUAAGUCAGAUGUGAAAGCCCGGGGCUCAACCUCGGAAUUGCAUUUGAAACUGGCAGACUAGAGUACUGUAGAGGGGGUAGAAUUUCAGGUGUAGCGGUGAAAUGCGUAGAGAUCUGAAGGAAUACCGGUGGCGAAGGCGGCCCCCUGGACAGAUACUGACACUCAGAUGCGAAAGCGUGGGGAGCAAACAGGAUUAGAUACCCUGGUAG